GACGAACGCUGGCGGCGUGCUUAACACAUGCAAGUCGAACGGGAAGGCCCUUCGGGGUACUCGAGUGGCGAACGGGUGAGUAACACGUGGGUGAUCUGCCCUGCACUUUGGGAUAAGCCUGGGAAACUGGGUCUAAUACCGAAUAGGACCACGCGCUUCAUGGUGUGUGGUGGAAAGCUUUUGCGGUGUGGGAUGGGCCCGCGGCCUAUCAGCUUGUUGGUGGGGUAAUGGCCUACCAAGGCGACGACGGGUAGCCGGCCGGAGAGCGUGACCGGCCACACUGGGACUGAGAUACGGCCCAGACUCCUACGGGAGGGAGCAGUGGGGAAUAUUGCACAAUGGGCGCAAGCCUGAUGCAGCGACGCCGCGUGAGGGAUGACGGCCUUCGGGUUGUAAACCUCUUUCACCAGGGACGAAGCGUAAGUGACGGUACCUGGAGAAGAAGCACCGGCCAACUACGUG
Molecule: ribosomal RNA, 462 nt
Filed under: uncultured bacterium
Lineage: Bacteria
Description: partial 16S ribosomal RNA
Rfam family: Bacterial small subunit ribosomal RNA
Source: RNAcentral